This 376-nucleotide long non-coding RNA is filed under the name Salvia miltiorrhiza (redroot sage). RNAcentral's name for it is "long non-coding RNA (SMIL_LNC009075)". Lineage: Eukaryota; Viridiplantae; Streptophyta; Magnoliopsida; Lamiales; Lamiaceae. The record is from RNAcentral.
CUAGAGUGAAAUUUUUUUGAAAAUCAUAUUACAUGCAUACAGAAAAUGAAAAAAAUAAACUUUGCACGCAUUUAAAGCUGUGCUUUAUCUUUCUAUCUUGUAUUAAUCCUAAUUCAAGUUGAGCCCAGAAUAAUUUUAUUCCGCCUAUUAUGAGCUCUUUAUACAGCCACACUGUUUAUGCUUUUUGUAUAUCAAUUUUUAUCUUUUUAUCUUGUAUUAAUCCUAAUUCAAGUCGAACCCAAAAUAAUUUUAUUCCACCUAUUAUGAGCUCUUUUUACGGCCACACUGUUUAUGCUUUUUGUAUAUCAAUUUGUCUAUUCCAGUAUGAAAGUGUCGGUGUUGAUUUUGUCUUGGCUUAAUUCGAUUUGUUUGUAGU